GAUGAACGCUGGCGGCGUGCUUAACACAUGCAAGUCGAACGAUGAAGCCGGAGCUUGCUCUGGUGAAUUAGUGGCGAACGGGUGAGUAACACGUGAGUAACCUGCCCUUGACUCUGGGAUAACUGCGGGAAACUGUAGCUAAUACCGGGUACGACCCUCGGAGGCAUCUCCUGGGGGUGGAAAGAAUUUCGGUCAAGGAUGGACUCGCGGCCUAUCAGCUAGUUGGUGAGGUAAGGGCUCACCAAGGCGACGACGGGUAGCCGGCCUGAGAGGGUGACCGGCCACACUGGGACUGAGACACGGCCCAGACUCCUACGGGAGGCAGCAGUGGGGAAUAUUGCACAAUGGGCGCAAGCCUGAUGCAGCAACGCCGCGUGAGGGAUGACGGCCUUCGGGUUGUAAACCUCUUUUAGUAGGGAAGAAGCGAAAGUGACGGUACCUGCAGAAAAAGCACCGGCUAACUACGUGCCAGCCGCCGCCGUAA
RNAcentral lists this ribosomal RNA (484 nucleotides) under uncultured bacterium. Its description in RNAcentral is "partial 16S ribosomal RNA". It matches the Rfam family "Bacterial small subunit ribosomal RNA", at positions 28 to 523 of the family's 1533-position model. The record is from RNAcentral.